UAUCACUAAGCGGCGGAAAAGAAACUAACCAGGAUUCCCCUAGUAACGGCGAGUGAACGGGGAUAAGCCCAGCACCGAAGCCUGUGUCCUGUUGGAUACUAGGCACUGUGGUGUUUAGGUGGUGACAUGUCAGCUUAUCUGCUGCCCCAAGUCCAGUAAUGAAUAUGGCUCUUAUAUUGGCCCAGAGAGGGUGAAAGGCCCGUGGGGGUAGUGGUGGUAGGUUGACUUGUUCCACCUUGGAGUCGGGUUGUUUGUGAAUGCAGCCCAAAGUGGGUGGUAGACUCCAUCUAAGGCUAAAUACUGGCACGAGUCCGAUAGCGAACAAGUACCGUGAGGGAAAGUUGAAAAGUACUCUGAAGAGAGAGUAAACAGUGCGUGAAACCGCUGAGAGGUAAACGGGUGUAGUCAAGCUGCAAGCCCUAGGGAUUCAGCCGAUCAGUGUGGUGUGUGUGCAUGAGCACAUUUUUGGUCUGUCGCGGUCUGCCUAAACUGGUGGGCUUGGCUCCUCGUAGCCGAGUGCUUGGGCGUCAAAUGGAUGCUAAGCGCCGUGCAGGAUCCAAAAGCUGGUCGGUGCACUUCCUUAGGGUGUAAGCCACGACCGCCGUUGCUGCCGGUCUGCCGGGAUCAACCUUCUUGGUUGGGCCAUUUGGCUCGGCCAGGUCGGGAUGGCAGGUGGCCAGGUGUGUGCGCUUGCGUACAUAUCGGGUGUUAUAGCCGAUCCUUGGGCGGUACAUAAACUGUGCAGUUCGGUGGAGAUGUCGACGUGUUGGUAACGGCUUAUGUGCUAAAGUCUGCCGGCGUGGUCAACGUCUGGCUGCCUGUAGUCGAUGCAAAAUUCGGCCUGGCGGCGGCUUGUUCACGGUGUAGCGGACGGCGGCGUAAGCUAGCCAUCGGCCUUGUGUCGGUUCGUCGUCUAUAGUCUGUGGC
RNAcentral lists this ribosomal RNA (927 nucleotides) under Polystomoides sp. MiAG65. Its description in RNAcentral is "partial large subunit ribosomal RNA". It matches the Rfam family "Eukaryotic large subunit ribosomal RNA", at positions 41 to 630 of the family's 3401-position model. Lineage: Eukaryota; Metazoa; Platyhelminthes; Monogenea; Polystomatidea; Polystomatidae. The record is from RNAcentral.